Long non-coding RNA from Oncorhynchus mykiss (rainbow trout), 934 nucleotides. RefSeq lists it as uncharacterized. The record is from RefSeq and is a predicted model, not a curated record. NCBI's taxonomy places the organism in Eukaryota, Metazoa, Chordata, Actinopteri, Salmoniformes, Salmonidae.
AUAACAAAUCAACACGACAUAUGAACCUAGUGAAAUUCACAAAGUACUUUAACAACUGUUACACAAGAUUCCUUUCGGUGGGGGAAAUAUUUGGCACGUAGUCUGGAUGUAGAUGGUCAUUUACGUGGAACCCUGAAAUAAUUGAAAUAAACGUACGUUUUUGUAUUUGGUACAAUUUACCUAGCUAAACAAAUCCUCAGAAGCAGCCAGAUCAUUGGAGUUGUUUGCUUAAUCUCCUAUAUUUAGCUACCAUUACGGAGAUGCUUGGUCCCAGUUUCCCUCUCAUCCUCUCGCCGAAUGGCCUGAAGCCAUAAGGCUCUUCUUUUUGGAUCUCUCUUGUGAUAAGGAAGGCGUGCGAACCGGAGACCUGGGUUUUUAGAACUAUUACUGGUGCAAUAUGUGACACAGCAUAUUUGGCAUAAUUUUUGCCGAAACGGUCAAGAAAAGUGAUCAAAGUUAGCGACGUGAUAAUUCGAUGCAAAGAAAAUGCUUUGUUUUACCCCAAAAAAGGGCACAGACCUGACGACGCAUUUUGUUUAUAUUUUUGAAGGCCUACUUUUCAAGGCUGCAGUUUGAGGGGCCCUAACGCAACUAUCAACCCUGAGAGAACCAGUUGAUACUGCAGGUCUUCAGGAUGCUCUUCAGCCCAGAAACAUCAGUUAAGUGAUACUAGAGAACCUGACAAGCACACCCUUGCCGCAGCGGUUGCUGAAAUCUACAAGAAACCAGCAUGAUGACUGUCUAGGUCAGGCCUGUGCAAAGACCGGGUCCGGGGGCCACUCAAAUCACAUGAAGAAUAUGCAAUAGUAAAGUUUUGAAAAAACGUAUUUGUUAUUCAAAUUAAAGCCCAAUGAAUACUUGCCUUUGUGUAAUAUUUUAACUCCCACCACUUGUGGGACAUUUAUUUUGAAGGCACGUAUAAAUAACAACUGCA